GAUGAACGCUGACAGAAUGCUUAACACAUGCAAGUCUUUGGCGAAGCUGUGCUUGCACAGCCUAGCCAAGGCGGACGGGUGAGUAACGCGUAAGGAACUUGCCCUGCAGUCAGGGAUAACAGACGGAAACGACUGAUAAGACCUGGUAAAGUCAGGCGGACUCAUGUCCAGCCUGAUGAAAAGAGAUGCUGCAGGAGAGCCUUGCGUCCUAUUAGCUUGUUGGUGGGGUAACGGCCCACCAAGGCGAUGAUAGGUAGCCGGCCUGAGAGGGUGGACGGCCACAAGGGGACUGAGAUACGGCCCUUACUCCUACGGGAGGCAGCAGUAGGGAAUAGUGGACAAUGGGGGCAACCCUGAUCCAGCAAUUCUGUGUGCACGAUGAAGGUUUUCGGACUGUAAAGUGCUUUCAGCAGGGAAGAAAAAAAUGACGGUACCUGCAGAAGAAGCGACGGCUAAAUACGUG
This 463-nucleotide ribosomal RNA is filed under the name uncultured bacterium. RNAcentral describes it as "partial 16S ribosomal RNA". It matches the Rfam family "Bacterial small subunit ribosomal RNA", at positions 28 to 507 of the family's 1533-position model. The record is from RNAcentral.